This 392-nucleotide transfer-messenger RNA is filed under the name Candidatus Buchananbacteria bacterium. It matches the Rfam family "transfer-messenger RNA". From Rfam's summary of the family: Bacterial tmRNA, also known as 10Sa RNA or SsrA, is named for its dual tRNA and mRNA-like properties. Lineage: Bacteria; Candidatus Buchananiibacteriota. The record is from RNAcentral.
GGGGAUGUAUUGUUUCGAUGGGAGGCCUUAAAUUUGAAGUUAGCAGGACGAGAUUGGCACUUGCUCGCAAACUAAAUGCCAAAGCACAUAAGUGCAAACAACUUUUUAAGCAAAGUAAAAUCUGCCUUUGGUGGAUUUGCUUUCGCUCCUGCUGUUGCUUAAUUGCUUAACAGCCAUCGCCCUGCCCACGCCUAGGUAGGCAAGAAGCGGUGUUAUAACUCUAGGACAGAUAGGCCAGUCUAUUCGAACAGGCCUAUUUAAAUUAUUUCGAAUAAAGCCGAAUCUGUUUUGUUCUUUUAAUAGGAUCCGGCUAAAAAAAUAAAAGAAAUAAUCUUGUACACUGACUUUUGAUUUACUUCCAGACAGGAGCUCAUUACUCCUCAUCUCCACUA